UGGGGAAUAUUGGACAAUGGGGGGAACCCUGAUCCAGCCAUGCCGCGUGCGUGAAGAAGACCUUAUGGUUGUAAAGCACUUUAAGCGAGGAGGAGGGUACUGGUAUUAAUACUACCAGGUACUGGACGUUACUCGCAGAAUAAGCACCGGCUAACUCUGUGCCAGCAGCCGCGGUAAUACAGAGGGUGCGAGCGUUAAUCGGAUUUACUGGGCGUAAAGCGUGCGUAGGCGGCUAAUUGAGUCGGAUGUGAAAUCCCCGAGCUUAAGUUGGGAAUUGCAUUCGAUACUGGUUAGCUAGAGUGUGGGAGAGGAUGGUAGAAUUCCAGGUGUAGCGGUGAAAUGCGUAGAGAUCUGGCGGAAUACCGAUGGCGAAGGCAGCCAUCUGGCCUAACACUGUCGCUGUGGUACGAAAGCAUAGGGAGCAAACAGG
This 430-nucleotide ribosomal RNA is filed under the name Pseudomonadota bacterium. Its description in RNAcentral is "Proteobacteria bacterium partial 16S ribosomal RNA". It matches the Rfam family "Bacterial small subunit ribosomal RNA", at positions 355 to 776 of the family's 1533-position model. Lineage: Bacteria; Pseudomonadati; Pseudomonadota. The record is from RNAcentral.